This 1714-nucleotide long non-coding RNA is filed under the name Homo sapiens (human). RNAcentral describes it as "HSALNT0170502". Lineage: Eukaryota; Metazoa; Chordata; Mammalia; Primates; Hominidae. The record is from RNAcentral.
ACUUCACUAUCAAAAACGGUUUCCGACACCUCCAUGAGCCUCGUGUCUGUGCCAACCGACUCCAGCUCCGGGCUCCCUGCCUCUCCACCCGGCACUCCCACCCUCUCCACAGCCUGAGCCCCACCCAGUCCUGGGCCACUGAGCCACCCUCCUGCCAUGCAGGGCAGACACAACCCCACACGGUGCUCGUCAGGGGAAGGCAGGAGGGCGGCCGGAGGGACCAGCCACAGUUCCGAGAAGGGGCUGACCGUGGCCUGUGAUGGACGGGGCACCCAGUGGGCCAGAAUCAGACGGAGAACAGCUAUAAGCUGCCACGCCGACUGCUGUGGGAGCUCCUGGGCCUGGAGGAGCCUCCCUGGGACACGGUGCCUGCAGGGCCCUCUGUCCUUGGACCUCCUCCUUCAAGGAUCCACUUCGCACAUGUGCCCUUCUGCAAACUUCCGUGACACCGAUGCAAAUUUGCUCUUUCUGUAUUUCAUGUAAAAAAUUUCCACUCACAAGCAGGAGACUCCACGAGGCCUUGGGGUCACAGGAAGGCUCGGAGUGCCAGAGUACAGAGUCCAAUUUGAGCAUUGUUCAGGUUCAACUGACCACAGGGAGCUGCCUGCAUUUAAAGUGAGCAACGUGACGGGACUGGACGCUGCACGCCAGCAAGUCAUCGCCACAGCGAAGGUCACGGCACACCCAGCCCCAGGAGCUUCCCCAAAAUGCCUGCAACCCUCCCUCCUGCACCCACGACCCUCCCCCAACUUCUCCUGCAGCCCCAGCCCCCACCCCCAGGAAGCAACUUACCUGCCUUCUGACUUGUACAUUGGUUUGUAUUUCCCAGGCUUUUGUAAAAAUGAAACCAUCCCUGUGCACUCCCUUGAUCCAGCCUCUUUCCCUCAGCGUAAUCCUUCUGAGUGAGCCCCGUCACCCCUCGGCGUAAUCCUUCUGAGUGAGCCCCGUCACCCCUCAGCGUAAUCCUUCUGAGCCCCGUCUACGCUGUCCCACGCACCAACAGCUCGCCCCUCAUUGCCGGGCAGGACCCCACCACGUGGCCGCACCCCAAUGUGCUCAUCGCCCACUGGGUGUCCAGGUGUCCGUCCUGUGGGUGAUGGAUCUUUCUGUGGUUUCCCGGUUUAGGUCAUUGCAGAUAACGCUGCUGUAAACAUGUGUAUGAGUUUCUGCGGGACGCGUGUCUCCUUAUCUCUUUGGUAGAUGGAGUGGAAUGACUGCGGCAUACAACAGGCCUGCUUUAACUUCUUAAGAAACUGCCAAACUGUCUUCCAAAGUGGCUCCAGCAUUCACCAUUCCCACCAGCCGAGUAUGAGGGUUCCGGUUCCACACCCUCCCAACACGCGCUCUGGUCGACUGUGUGAGUUUCACCCAUUCUAACAGGUGGUGGCUGUCUUCCUGCUGAGGGCUCUGCAGAUCUCGGAGUGGCCGUUCCUUGCAGCUCUCUCCUUCCAGCUGGAAGAACGAAUCUGGUCCCUGUUACUUCAUCUGAGAUGGAAGCAAAAGUCCAAUCGAUUUAUUUUUAAUUUUAUUUGAUACCGAAGUGCAGAAAACUGCACGUACCGCAAGGGUAGCGCUCGGGGAAGCUUCACAACCGGGGCACGUCUGCACAGCCAGCACUCAGUCACAGAAUGUCAUCACCCCCGAAUCCCAGCCGAGGUCAGGGCCUUCCGCGCGCUCCCUCGUGCUUUUCACUGUCUGAGUGAUUAACGGAGAG